Molecule: ribosomal RNA, 423 nt
Filed under: uncultured organism
Description: bacterial SSU rRNA
Rfam family: Bacterial small subunit ribosomal RNA
Source: RNAcentral
GCGCAGCAGGCGCGAAUUUUUCACAAUGGGGGAAACCCUGAUGGAGCGACGCCGCGUGGAGGAUGAAGGCCUUUUGGUCGUAAACUCCUGUCAAACGGGAACAAGAAAGUGAUAGUACCGUUAGAGGAAGAGACGGCUAACUCUGUGCCAGCAGCCGCGGUAAUACAGAGGUCUCAAGCGUUGUUCGGAUUCAUUGGGCGUAAAGGGUGCGUAGGUGGCAUGGUAAGUUGAAGGUGAAAUCUCGGAGCUUAACUCCGAAACUGCCUUCAAUACUGCUGUGCUUGAGGACUGUAGAGGAGAAUGGAAUUCAUGGUGUAGCAGUGAAAUGCGUAGAUAUCAUGAGGAAGGCCAGUGGCGAAGGCGAUUCUCUGGGCAGUUCCUGACACUGAGGCACGAAGGCUAGGGGAGCAAACGGGAUUAGAU